CUGCUGCCUUCCGUAGGAGUUUGGACCGUGUCUCAGUUCCAAUGUGGGGGACCUUCCUCUCAGAACCCCUACGCAUCGUCGGCUUGGUGGGCCGUUGCCCCACCAACUACCUAAUGCGCCGCAUGCCCAUCCGUGACCGGAGUCGCCCCCUUUGGCCGGAAAGGGAUGUCCCUUCCCGGCGUCAUGCUGUAUUAGGCGGGAUUUCUCCCGGUUAUCCAUCUGUCACGGCCAGGUUGCAUACGUGUUACUCACCCGUGCGCCGGUCGCCGGCGG
This 273-nucleotide ribosomal RNA is filed under the name uncultured bacterium. RNAcentral describes it as "partial 16S ribosomal RNA". The record is from RNAcentral.